AUUGAACGCUGGCGGCAUGCCUUACACAUGCAAGUCGAACGGUAACGGGCCUUCGGGUGCCGACGAGUGGCGAACGGGUGAGUAAUACAUCGGAACGUGCCCGAUCGUGGGGGAUAACGAGGCGAAAGCUUUGCUAAAACCGCACACGACCUACGGAGGAAAGCCGGGGACCGCAAGGCCUUGCGCGGACGGAGCGGCAGAUGGCAGAUUAGUUGGUUGGUGGGAUAAAAGCUUACCAAGCCGACGAUCUGUAGCUGGUCUGAGAGGAUGAUCAGCCACACUGGGACUGAGACACGGCCCAGACUCCUACGGGAGGCAGCAGUGGGGAAUUUUGGACAAUGGGCGCAAGCCUAAUCCAGCCAUGCCGCGUGCAGGAUGAAGGCCUUCGGGUUGUAAACUGCUUUUGUAAGGAACGAAAAGCCUUCUUUUAAUACAGGAGGUUCAUGACGUUACCGUAAGAAUAAGCACCGGCUAACUACGUG
Molecule: ribosomal RNA, 482 nt
Filed under: uncultured bacterium
Lineage: Bacteria
Description: partial 16S ribosomal RNA
Rfam family: Bacterial small subunit ribosomal RNA
Source: RNAcentral